Molecule: long non-coding RNA, 2111 nt
Organism: Oreochromis aureus
Lineage: Eukaryota; Metazoa; Chordata; Actinopteri; Cichliformes; Cichlidae
Source: Ensembl
CAAAGAGCUGCUGCUGACUGAACUCCUGUGAUAUGCACACUACUCCUUUAAGUAUUUGAUCUCUCUGAUAAGUGCCGUGCAGUUUCAGUUUUGCUUCUAUUCGACUUUAACCUUUAGUUUCCGCGUGCCUUCUCACGCAUUCUUUUCUCAUCUGUAGUUCAUCAUUAGCCGUCCUCCCAACCGGACGCUGUUGGGUUUAGAUGAAGAAACACUGCACUCAAGAUCGCUGGGAGCAAAAGAAACAGCUGGAGAAAAGAGGUGGGAACUUGAAAGUAAAAUGCAAAUAAUCCAGAGGAGGAGGAAGAAUGGGAGGAGUGAGAAAGUGAAAACUGGAGGGUGAAGCAGGAUAAAGUGAUAGAAGAGAGGGAGUCCAUCCUUUCGCUCCGAUCUCUCCAGCCACGUGUAGACCAGCAGCUCCGGGUGACGCACCUUUUUCCCCUGAAGUGAACCAUCACCUGCCAAAACUCCAAACUCGUCCUUCUGGUUGUUCAUUCCUCUUUUCCUUGGAUAGCCAGGAGCCUUCCCCAGCAGCGAGGUUGGAAGUUUGACAAAACUUUCCUGAAAACUGGCCAAAGAAAGGAUUUUCUUCAUUCUACAACUGCUGUUGAGCUUUCAGCUGGAGUCCAGCAGAGGACAGACGCUGAAGACACUUUAAGCCAUCAGCGUCGUGUCGGAGGGUCGGGGAGUUGAAGCCUCCGGAGGGGUCUGCUUUCUCACAGCUGUGAUCGAUUUGUUGAAGAUGUUGUAGUGAGUUGUGGGGCAGCAGACAGCAGAGGAUAAUGUGACACAGAUGAUGGUUUUGCCGCCUGUGCCAUGCAGAGGGAGAGGCCAGCUCUCGUGAGUGUGUUUGUGUUUCUGUGUUCUGUCAACAUCAUGGCCAUCACCCAAAAACCAUGCAGCAGGGACCUUAUUAACAACGUCCUGACCCUGAAGGAGAAAGUCUCCAUCAUCUCCAACAAGUUGUCGCUGAACUGCAGCCUGUACACACCCACCAUUGAAGACUACGAGAUUUGUCCCAAGACCACGAUGCAAUGUUUUGCUUCUGAAAUUAUCGUCCUCACGCAUGAGUGCGAGCUCCCGUCAAUGGGGAAAAAAUUGAAUAAAAUGCUGAGUAAACUGGCGUUCAGGAUAAACCAGCAGACAGCGUCAAAGUGUCGUCGGUGUGAGGUCAUGAAGGAGAAAAAUGCAACCACCUUUCUUGAAAAUCUGCUAUGGACUGUUGAGAAAUCUAACAGUGACUACUGUUAGGACUUUCAGAAGAGACUGCAUGGCCUGACUUUCUUUUCAUUAACUUUCUAUUAAACCACCUGCACACAAAUAAAGUGCAGAAUGUAUGAUGUCGGAGCAGCUCAGUGGCAUUUGAGUUACAGUUAGAGGCUAACGCGGGGUUCUGGGUGGAAAAAGCUUGCUUGUAGUUUCAUAUCAACUCAUCAGCUAACAUAAAUGUCUCACUGAUGAAGUCAUAAAGAAGACACAGUCAGAUCCCAGCUAAGCUGCAGUCAGAUGCUGAGAGCACGUUGGUCACUUUAAUGUGUUUUAAGGAAAUAUGUGUGUAUUUUCGUCUGCUAUUAAUGAGUAUUAUUAUAUUAAUAAGGUUGCUAUCAAGCAGUUGGACAGUGGGUGAAAAGGGGGCAUUGGGUCAGUGUGUUUAUUGGCCUUGGUAAACUGAUGGAAGUACACCGAGGAUGGCAGGAGGAAAACAGACCUGUCUACGCAUUUCACAACCACAGACACCAUCACAGAAAUGUGCGACAGUUUCUGAGCACGUGGGACUUCCUGAGGAUCGCACAACUGGCUUAGUCGAAAGCCACUGCCAGAUUAUUCAUGCAUCAGACAUUACAAUGCAAUGGACAUCUGCAAGGACAUCACUGCUUACCGCCUACUGUGGCCAAAAUAUGCUCCUACACAGCUCUGAUGUAAACCUCAGAAACAUAUAAAGUUAUUUCUACUCUUCUAAUAAGCUCAUUCUCUCCCUACUUUGAUCUGAUGCUCCUGUAUUUAGUUCAGUACAAUAAACUUCAUUUUAAAGUAAGCUGAUGCACGCGUUUCACUCUUAUUUCUUGCACCUUCAGAAUAAAAUUAUCCCGUUCUGUCUUUUUGUACAGCUUGGC